UACGUAGGGUGCAAGCGUUGUCCGGAAUUAUUGGGCGUAAAGAGCUCGUAGGCGGUUUGUCGCGUCGGCUGUGAAAGCCCGGAGCUCAACUCCGGGUCUGCAGUCGAUACGGGCAGACUUGAGUGUUGCAGGGGAGACUGGAAUUCCUGGUGUAGCGGUGAAAUGCGCAGAUAUCAGGAGGAACACCGGUGGCGAAGGCGGGUCUCUGGGCAGUAACUGACGCUGAGGAGCGAAAGCGUGGGGAGCAAACAGG
This 253-nucleotide ribosomal RNA is filed under the name uncultured bacterium. Its description in RNAcentral is "partial 16S ribosomal RNA". It matches the Rfam family "Bacterial small subunit ribosomal RNA", at positions 524 to 776 of the family's 1533-position model. The record is from RNAcentral.